This is a non-coding RNA of Marmota flaviventris (yellow-bellied marmot), 1236 nucleotides long. The record is from RefSeq and is a predicted model, not a curated record. Lineage: Eukaryota; Metazoa; Chordata; Mammalia; Rodentia; Sciuridae.
CUCCGCCCGCGCGCCCUGCAGACGUGUUUCGGCCCUGAGGACCCGGGGUCUGGGGUCCUUUCCGGAUAGCUGUGAAGGAGGCAGGGAGCAGAAGCUGCAGCCAGCAAGUGUAGCUGAAGGUAUCUGAGCCUGCCAGGGACCUUGCAGAAGAGGGAGACCAGAAGGAUGGCCUACCUGGACCUCGGGAGAGCUGCUGCUUGUGGUCCAUUUUUGUAGCAGGAUGACGGUGUUUUACCAGUGAGAGAGUGAAGUUUGCUCCAUAAAGUCUGAACCCAUCACAGUAGGACCUGUAGGCCACACAACUGUGUCAAAGAAUAAAACCUCACGUAAAGAGAACAGAGUUCUUGGCCCUGGCCAAUCCCUGCCCUGUGGGCCUUCGGCAAGUGGAAGGACCUAACCAGUCACUCAAACCUGCUGAGCCUGAGCCUUGCCUCUGCUUUUCCAAAGAGAAUGGACCAAGACUUGAAAGACUCAAGCAGGGGCUCUGUGCAGCAUUAAGAGCUGACCAGAGAUAUCCUGACCAGGCCACUGCACAGUUGCGGGGAAGGAGUGGCCCCAAUCCUUGGAGGACAUGCUGGGGUCUCCUAAAGGACUGAAGGCCUUCUCUCCUCCAGGAACAUGCUUCAGGUGAGCUCCCAGUGGACCUGGGCCUGCUCCUGCCCACCUGCAGGCCCUUCUCAGCAGCGGUCUCUGGGAACCUCAUUUAACAAUGGCUCUUAUACCCACCUUCCCCACCAUGUUCCAAGCGAGUGUUUGUCUUCUUUGAGCUGGACACUCCAGAGGGCCAGCACAGCAAUCCCAGUGACUCUUGGUGGGGCCAACUGGACUGUGGACAUGGAACUAAGAAGCUGCCAGCCCAUGGUGGAGAGGCUCCUGCUCCUAGCUUUCAGGUAGAUUGGGGCCCUGCUUUAUCAGGCAGAUCCCAUGGGCAGCCCAGAUAGAUGGGAGGGCAGACCAUACCCCUGCAGGCAGAAACUCAGCCUCUGAUGUGUCCAUGAUCCCAAAUUUCUAUUUCAGUUCUACCCAGGAGUCCUGGGCCAGAGGCUCUGGUACUUGGAGCCCUCCUGUUCACUCUACCCACUGAGGACAAAGCCCCAUUGCAGGCCAGGUUAUAUCCCUUUAAGUUACCAGCUCUGGGAAGAGUGGAAGCUGAGCAGUCAGCAGAACCCAGUGGGGCAUGUAGAUUAGUGGUUGAGGGCUUGCCUUGCAUGUAUUAGGCCUGAGUUUGACCCAAAA